This 253-nucleotide ribosomal RNA is filed under the name uncultured bacterium. RNAcentral's name for it is "partial 16S ribosomal RNA". It matches the Rfam family "Bacterial small subunit ribosomal RNA", at positions 524 to 776 of the family's 1533-position model. The record is from RNAcentral.
UACGGAGGAUGCAAGCGUUAUCCGGAAUGAUUGGGCGUAAAGCGUCCGCAGGUGGCAAUGUAAGUCUGCUGUCAAAGCGUCUGGCUCAACCAGAUAAAGGCAGUGGAAACUACAUAGCUAGAGUAAGGUAGGGGUAGAGGGAAUUCCUGGUGUAGCGGUGAAAUGCGUAGAGAUCAGGAAGAACACCGGUGGCGAAAGCGCUCUACUGGGCCACAACUGACGCUGAGGGACGAAAGCUAGGGGAGCGAAAGGG